GAUCCUCUUAGAGUCAUGGAACAGGGAUCUGAGCUCCUGUAACUAACCUACAACCACAAUGGACAGAUGUUAGAUCAUUGGACACACAAGACAUUCCGGGAAAGGUCUCUGGACUGCAGUGAAGGAGAGGAAACCAGGCUGAUGAACCACCCUCUCAGCAUAGACCAGGAACUGACCACUGGGGCCUCCCAGGAUCGUAUGUCCAGUCACUGAAGUCAGAAAAUGGCUCUGGUUUCCUCCUCCUGCAGCAGCAAAACCUUUAACGGGUUUGUGUUCUACCUUAAAGAGAAGCGAGUACCACUUUGUGAAAUAAGUAACCAUAUUGCAGAAUGAUUAAAAGUUAA
Molecule: non-coding RNA, 344 nt
Organism: Chiloscyllium plagiosum (whitespotted bambooshark)
Lineage: Eukaryota; Metazoa; Chordata; Chondrichthyes; Orectolobiformes; Hemiscylliidae
Source: RefSeq, a predicted model, not a curated record